Molecule: small nuclear RNA, 118 nt
Organism: Rana temporaria (common frog)
Lineage: Eukaryota; Metazoa; Chordata; Amphibia; Anura; Ranidae
Product: U5 spliceosomal RNA
Exons: 1
Source: RefSeq, a predicted model, not a curated record
AUACUCUGGUUCCUCUUUAGAAUCACUAAUUUUUUUUUGCAUUUUAUUAAAGAUUUCUGUGGAGGGGAACAACCAUGAGUUUUGGUGAAUUUUUUUGAUGCCUGGCUAAUGCCGGGCC